Molecule: small nuclear RNA, 190 nt
Organism: Mauremys mutica (yellowpond turtle)
Lineage: Eukaryota; Metazoa; Chordata; Testudines; Geoemydidae
Product: U2 spliceosomal RNA
Exons: 1
Source: RefSeq, a predicted model, not a curated record
GUUGCUUCUUGGCUCCUUAAAGCUAAGAUCAAACAUAGUGUCUGUUAUUACCAGUUUAAUAACUGGUAGGAUGCUAACAUCCUUGAACCAUUUUAAGGUUGGGCCCCAGCUAUUACUACAGCAGCAUACCUCCAGGAGUAGAGACAGCCCAGCUGCUGAUGGAACAGCUGUAGCAGCUGGCUGAACUGCU